UCUGUUGACUUAGUAUAUCAUUCCACUAUAAAUAAACGAUCUUAUCAUAGAUCCAUUGUGAUCUUGAAAUUAUAUAAUAAUGGAAACAUCAACCUUAGUCACCAUCUUUAUAUCUGGUUUACUUGUAAGUUUUAUUGGGUAUGCCUUAUAUAUUGCCUUUGGGCAACCCUCUCAACAAUUAAAAGAUCCAUUCGAGGAACACAGGGACUGAUUGAAAUAAUGAAAAAUCAUUUCAUUUUUUAGUUGGAACUUUAGGCGGUUCUCGAAAAAAGAUAGCGAAAAAAAUUAUCCCUAGAGUAAAUACUAAGAGUAAUGUAUAAACCAAUGCUUCCAUAAAUUCGAUCGUGGUUUACAGUUAUAGCUUCCGUACCUGUUUAUUUGGAAUCAUCUCCCGAAUAAAAUAAAGAAAGAAAAAGGAAAGGAAAAGGCAACGAUUUUAAUCAAGAUUUUUCUAGCAGCCUAUGUCAAAUAACAAAUAGAAAAUAUAAGCGAAAAAUAACAAAGCAAUCUUGCAUCAAACUACUUGUCUUCUUGUAGUUUGAUCUCCAAGUUUUUGGAAUGCUCCAAAUUCUACUUGAGCAUCCAAAUUUGGAUCAAUACCGGCAAAAACAUCUCUGAACAGGGUUCUAUCACCUUGCCAAAUAUGUCCGAAGAAGAAAAGCAAAGCAAACGAAGCAUGCCCAAAAGUAAACCAACCCCUCGGACUGCUAC
This is a long non-coding RNA of Hibiscus syriacus, 711 nucleotides long. RefSeq lists it as uncharacterized. The transcript is spliced from 2 exons. The record is from RefSeq and is a predicted model, not a curated record. NCBI's taxonomy places the organism in Eukaryota, Viridiplantae, Streptophyta, Magnoliopsida, Malvales, Malvaceae.